Molecule: ribosomal RNA, 1520 nt
Filed under: Bacillus australimaris
Lineage: Bacteria; Bacillati; Bacillota; Bacilli; Caryophanales; Bacillaceae
Description: bacterial SSU rRNA
Rfam family: Bacterial small subunit ribosomal RNA
Source: RNAcentral
GCUCAGGACGAACGCUGGCGGCGUGCCUAAUACAUGCAAGUCGAGCGGACAGAAGGGAGCUUGCUCCCGGAUGUUAGCGGCGGACGGGUGAGUAACACGUGGGUAACCUGCCUGUAAGACUGGGAUAACUCCGGGAAACCGGAGCUAAUACCGGAUAGUUCCUUGAACCGCAUGGUUCAAGGAUGAAAGACGGUUUCGGCUGUCACUUACAGAUGGACCCGCGGCGCAUUAGCUAGUUGGUGGGGUAAUGGCUCACCAAGGCGACGAUGCGUAGCCGACCUGAGAGGGUGAUCGGCCACACUGGGACUGAGACACGGCCCAGACUCCUACGGGAGGCAGCAGUAGGGAAUCUUCCGCAAUGGACGAAAGUCUGACGGAGCAACGCCGCGUGAGUGAUGAAGGUUUUCGGAUCGUAAAGCUCUGUUGUUAGGGAAGAACAAGUGCGAGAGUAACUGCUCGCACCUUGACGGUACCUAACCAGAAAGCCACGGCUAACUACGUGCCAGCAGCCGCGGUAAUACGUAGGUGGCAAGCGUUGUCCGGAAUUAUUGGGCGUAAAGGGCUCGCAGGCGGUUUCUUAAGUCUGAUGUGAAAGCCCCCGGCUCAACCGGGGAGGGUCAUUGGAAACUGGGAAACUUGAGUGCAGAAGAGGAGAGUGGAAUUCCACGUGUAGCGGUGAAAUGCGUAGAGAUGUGGAGGAACACCAGUGGCGAAGGCGACUCUCUGGUCUGUAACUGACGCUGAGGAGCGAAAGCGUGGGGAGCGAACAGGAUUAGAUACCCUGGUAGUCCACGCCGUAAACGAUGAGUGCUAAGUGUUAGGGGGUUUCCGCCCCUUAGUGCUGCAGCUAACGCAUUAAGCACUCCGCCUGGGGAGUACGGUCGCAAGACUGAAACUCAAAGGAAUUGACGGGGGCCCGCACAAGCGGUGGAGCAUGUGGUUUAAUUCGAAGCAACGCGAAGAACCUUACCAGGUCUUGACAUCCUCUGACAACCCUAGAGAUAGGGCUUUCCCUUCGGGGACAGAGUGACAGGUGGUGCAUGGUUGUCGUCAGCUCGUGUCGUGAGAUGUUGGGUUAAGUCCCGCAACGAGCGCAACCCUUGAUCUUAGUUGCCAGCAUUCAGUUGGGCACUCUAAGGUGACUGCCGGUGACAAACCGGAGGAAGGUGGGGAUGACGUCAAAUCAUCAUGCCCCUUAUGACCUGGGCUACACACGUGCUACAAUGGACAGAACAAAGGGCUGCAAGACCGCAAGGUUUAGCCAAUCCCAUAAAUCUGUUCUCAGUUCGGAUCGCAGUCUGCAACUCGACUGCGUGAAGCUGGAAUCGCUAGUAAUCGCGGAUCAGCAUGCCGCGGUGAAUACGUUCCCGGGCCUUGUACACACCGCCCGUCACACCACGAGAGUUUGCAACACCCGAAGUCGGUGAGGUAACCUUUAUGGAGCCAGCCGCCGAAGGUGGGGCAGAUGAUUGGGGUGAAGUCGUAACAAGGUAGCCGUAUCGGAAGGUGCGGUGACAACC